UUCCAGGGUAGGCAGUCAGGGCAAGUGCCUCAGCAAGAAGGGCUGGUGGGUGUCUCUCCAUUUCACUAGCUUUCCUGACCCAGGAAGAAGAGAACCCUUUGACAUCCAGCCAGAGGGCCAAAGGAAGACUCCCCCAAAGCUCAGAGUGGGGACUUCACCUCCACCUCCUGCAAAGUACACUGCUGGGUCCGUCCUGCUGCUGAUGCAUGGGUCCACUUCUGCCAAACAGGCCAGUGUGCGAAGGAAAGAGGCAAACAUCCAGCCUUCCCAUCGGGCAGAGAGGCAAAUCCUCUGCUUCUCCGGCUCUCCCUGCUUCUCAAUCCCUUCCACCCGUGGACUUUUGUUCCCGCUUGUGGACUUUUGUUCCCGCUUCUCCUGACUGCAAAGAGGUCAUUCUAGUAGAACUUUGAAUUUUAUUUUAUAAUUUUAUUUUAUUUUAUGUUUUUUGCUUUGUCAGUGGCUGUGGUGAAGUUGUGCUUGUGUUUUGUGAUUUCUUUGGCAGCGAUUUUUCAGUUGUUGCUUAUAAGGGAGGGCUGAGGGUGGGAGUGGGGAGGGCAGGGGGCCUAGAGCUCUAAUUGUUUGUUUUGGAAGAAAAAGAAAAAACAACAACAAAAAAAUAUAUAUCACUCUAGAAAA
Molecule: long non-coding RNA, 636 nt
Filed under: Rattus norvegicus (Norway rat)
Lineage: Eukaryota; Metazoa; Chordata; Mammalia; Rodentia; Muridae
Description: long non-coding RNA NONRATT004796
Source: RNAcentral